This 83-nucleotide transfer RNA is filed under the name Mycobacteroides abscessus. Its description in RNAcentral is "tRNA-Glu(ttc)". RNAcentral also lists the same sequence under 2 other names. Lineage: Bacteria; Bacillati; Actinomycetota; Actinomycetes; Mycobacteriales; Mycobacteriaceae. The record is from RNAcentral.
UUCGGUGCUGGGCGAGGAGUACGGCGGCGAGGCCACGUUCAUUGGCCGGCAGUGGGUCAUCGAUCCCAUCGACGGCACCAAGA